This 242-nucleotide long non-coding RNA is filed under the name Brassica napus (rape). RNAcentral describes it as "long non-coding RNA (BNAP_LNC014421)". Lineage: Eukaryota; Viridiplantae; Streptophyta; Magnoliopsida; Brassicales; Brassicaceae. The record is from RNAcentral.
UCUAAAUACCCUACACUAACCACCUAAUCUACCCUAAACUAAUCAAAUUAGAUAGGAAAUAGAGAGAGAACGUACCAUAGUUACGAAAGAGAGAGGAAGUGGAGAGGAAAUGGGAGAGCGAAGUUCGCGUGUUUAUAUAAGAAAUUAGUAAUCGUCGUAAUUUCCUCGUAUAUUUACGAGGAACUAGUGAGGCCCGUGUUUUCCUUACGAGGAAUUAGCGAGGCCCGCGUUUUGUUUCCACG